GGCUCUCGGGCCCGAGUUGUAAUUUGUAGAGGAUACUUUUGAUGCGGUGCCUUCCGAGUUCCCUGGAACGGGACGCCAUAGAGGGUGAGAGCCCCGUCUGGUUGGAUGCCAAAUCUCUGUAAAGUUCCUUCGACGAGUCGAGUAGUUUGGGAAUGCUGCUCUAAAUGGGAGGUAUAUGUCUUCUAAAGCUAAAUACCGGCCAGAGACCGAUAGCGCACAAGUAGAGUGAUCGAAAGAUGAAAAGCACUUUGAAAAGAGAGUUAAAAAGUACGUGAAAUUGUUGAAAGGGAAGCGUUUAUGACCAGACUUGGGCUUGGUUAAUCAUCUGGGGUUCUCCCCAGUGCACUUUUCCAGUCCAGGCCAGCAUCAGUUUUCGCCGGGGGAUAAAGACUUCGGGAAUGUGGCUCUCUUCGGGGAGUGUUAUA
Molecule: ribosomal RNA, 425 nt
Filed under: Fusarium sp. E4
Lineage: Eukaryota; Fungi; Ascomycota; Sordariomycetes; Hypocreales; Nectriaceae
Description: eukaryotic LSU rRNA
Rfam family: Eukaryotic large subunit ribosomal RNA
Source: RNAcentral